GAGGGGCAUCGGGAGGAAAGCUUGCUUUCCUUGCCGGCGACCGGCGCACGGGUGAGUAACACGUAUGCAACCUGCCCUCUUCAGGGGGACAACCUUCCGGAAGGGAGGCUAAUCCCGCGUAUAUCGGUUUCGGGCAUCCGAGAUCGAGGAAAGAUUCAUCGGAAGAGGAUGGGCAUGCGGCGCAUUAGCUAGACGGCGGGGUAACGGCCCACCGUGGCGACGAUGCGUAGGGGUUCUGAGAGGAAGGUCCCCCACACUGGUACUGAGACACGGACCAGACUCCUACGGGAGGCAGCAGUGAGGAAUAUUGGUCAAUGGGAGAGAUCCUGAACCAGCCAAGCCGCGUGAGGGAAGACGGCCCUAUGGGUUGUAAACCUCUUUUGUCGGAGAACAAAACCCGGGACGAGUCCCGGACUGCGUGUAUCCGAAGAAAAAGCAUCGGCUAACUCCGUGCCAGCAGCCGCGGUAAUACGGAGGAUGCGAGCGUUAUCCGGAUUUAUUGGGUUUAAAGGGUGCGUAGGCGGUCCGUUAAGUCAGCGGUAAAAUUGCGGGGCUCAACCCCGUCGAGCCGUUGAAACUGGCAGACUUGAGUUGGCGAGAAGUACGCGGAAUGCGCGGUGUAGCGGUGAAAUGCAUAGAUAUCGCGCAGAACUCCGAUUGCGAAGGCAGCGUACCGGCGCCAGACUGACGCUGAGGCACGAAAGCGUGGGGAUCGAACAGGAUUAGAUACCCUGGUAGUCCACGCAGUAAACGAUGAAUGCUGGUUGUCCGGGUCGAAUGAGAUCUGGGCGGCGAAGCGAAAGCGAUAAGCAUUCCACCUGGGGAGUACGCCGGCAACGGUGAAACUCAAAGGAAUUGACGGGGGCCCGCACAAGCGGAGGAACAUGUGGUUUAAUUCGAUGAUACGCGAGGAACCUUACCCGGGCUCAAACGGGAGCGGAAUGGACCAGAGACGGUUCAGCCUACGGGCCGCUUCCGAGGUGCUGCAUGGUUGUCGUCAGCUCGUGCCGUGAGGUGUCGGCUUAAGUGCCAUAACGAGCGCAACCCCCGCCGGCAGUUGCUAACGGGCAAUGCCGAGGACUCUGCCGGGACUGCCGCCGCAAGGCGUGAGGAAGGCGGGGAUGACGUCAAAUCAGCACGGCCCUUACGUCCGGGGCGACACACGUGUUACAAUGGGCGGUACAGCGGGAAGCCAGGCGGCGACGCCGAGCGGAACCCGAAAGCCGUUCUCAGUUCGGAUCGGAGUCUGCAACCCGACUCCGUGAAGCUGGAUUCGCUAGUAAUCGCGCAUCAGCCAUGGCGCGGUGAAUACGUUCCCGGGC
This 1322-nucleotide ribosomal RNA is filed under the name uncultured bacterium. RNAcentral describes it as "bacterial SSU rRNA". It matches the Rfam family "Bacterial small subunit ribosomal RNA", at positions 64 to 1379 of the family's 1533-position model. The record is from RNAcentral.